This 323-nucleotide unclassified non-coding RNA is filed under the name soil metagenome. RNAcentral's name for it is "partial contains 5.8S ribosomal RNA, internal transcribed spacer 2, and large subunit ribosomal RNA". The stretch from base 1 to 120 matches the Rfam family "5.8S ribosomal RNA", at positions 35 to 154 of the family's 154-position model. The record is from RNAcentral.
GAUGAAGAACGUAGCGAAAUGCGAUAAGUAAUGCGAAUUGCAGAAUUCAGUGAGUCAUCGAAUCUUUGAACGCACAUUGCGCCCUGUGGUAUUCCGCAGGGCAUGCCUGUUCGAGCAUCAUUUCAACCCUCAAGCUCUGCUUGGUGUUGGGCCCUGCCCGCUGCGGCCGGCCCUAAAGACAGUGGCGGUGCCGCCUGGCCCUGAGCGUAGUACAUCUCUCGCUCCAGUGCCCGGUGGUAGCCUGCCAGAACCCCAACUCUCGUGGUUGACCUCGGAUCAGGUAGGGAUACCCGCUGAACUUAAGCAUAUCAAUAAGCGGAGGA